Dinoponera quadriceps is the source of this 1474-nucleotide long non-coding RNA. RefSeq lists it as uncharacterized. NCBI's taxonomy places the organism in Eukaryota, Metazoa, Arthropoda, Insecta, Hymenoptera, Formicidae. The record is from RefSeq and is a predicted model, not a curated record. The transcript has 3 exons.
AAGGAAAAUCGAUCACGCGUCAGGCCGCUCGACGAGGGUGUAGUGACGCCAACGACGGUAGUGGGGCGUACCUUCGCUUGGUUUCUCCCUCGCUGUCUGAACCAACUCCACAAGUCUGGCAACACUUGAUCAGGUGGUUGAAAGGGUCACACAAUACACAUUCGCAGGUACACUUAAUCACGAGCAACGACUACCGGACGACAACGCGACACUCUGAUGACGCAACAUGGCAAAGCAUGUUUUGAUGUAUCGAAAGACGAGGAGCGAAGCGAGAAGACCGGAGCAAUGCGACCGACAGCAGCGGCGGCACCAGCAACAACGGCAACGACGAUGACGACGAUCGAACGAUACACCCAACCUGACUGAACUCGCACUCGCGACUGAUCGCUUGCGCGCGCUUGUCUAGCGAUCCGACUACAGCGCCGCUCACGGAAGCCGAUGGAAACGUGCGCUGCAAACGUCAAAUUUCGAUCGGCGCGUGCUCGCUACGCAGACGGCAACAUAUGUACAAGUUCCGGAAUGGAAACUUUAACCUGGAGGAUGACGAACGUCCUAAACAAUCCAAAAAGAUGGAAGACGACGAUCUGGAGAAGCUGCUGGCCAAAAAUUCAUGCCAAACCCAAGUAGAAUUAGCUGCAGCGUUAGGAGUUACCCAGCGUUAGGAGUUACCCCAGCAAAUCAUUUUUAUCUGGUUAAAAAUGCUGGGUAAAACUCAAAAAGAGAAUCGUUGGGUUCCGUUCAAGAGGAAGAGUUUUUUGCAUAAAUUAGUGACCAGUGAUGAAACGUGGGCGUAUUAUGAUAAUCUCAAAAGACGAAAAGCGUGGGUUAAUCCUAGUGAACUGUCAACAUCGAUCACAAAACCCAAUAUUCAUGGCAAAAAACUCCAUUUAUGAUUUUGUGGGACUUCAAGGAUAUGAUAUAUUAUGAAUUGUUAAAAUCGAGUGAAACUAUUAUUGCUGAGCGUUACAAACAUCAACUUUUGCGUUUAAAUGACGAAAUCGAACGCAAGAGAUCUUUUACGGGCAACGGGCCUAGGCCGAUCAUUCCACUGCACGAUAACGCGAGAUCACAUACGGCAAAAAAAACCAAGAACAUGCUUGAUUCGUUGGGCUGGAAAAUUUUGCCACAUUCGGCGUAUUCACCGGAUCUAGGCCCGUCAGAUUUUCACUUCCCAUACAGCACCGAAAUCUUUUAGAUAUUUCAGAAAUGUUUCAUGUGAAAAAAUGGAACAUCCCAGAAACGAUUCAAAAUGUUUCUGAGACAGCUCUGAGACGGUUUUGGGAUAGCAAAAUAUUUGCGAAUCAUGCACUUAAAAUCUUCCUGAAGAUGUGCCGAAAAGUUACUGAAAUAUGUCUAAAACAUUUCUGAAUAUUUGUUGAAAAGUUAUUGAAAUAGUUACUUAUAUGCAUAAUUACGUUUAUUUAUUCAUAAAUUAUGUAUUAAUAUUGUUUACACAUUUCAGUAUCGUGUAUUA